GAGCAGCCUCCCGAUGAACCAUGCCGGGCCAUUCAAUCUCCGAUAAACCAUGCCGGAGCAGCGUCCCGAUGAACCAUGCCGGGCCAUGCCGGAACAACGUCUCCAAUGAAUCAGCAAUGCUGCAUCUCUCUUCUUCAUUCGCCGCUCUUCUAUAAUGAUCUCUCUUUUACUUAAAUCUUCUUCUCCUCAUUUCCUCAUCCUUUGAGAUAUUAUAUUCCAAACUCACUUUCUAUAAUCUGCCCACUCUCGGUCAUCUUCUCCCACUCAUCUAUGUAUCUCUCUAUUUAAUCAUUCUUCAAGUUAUUAUUCCCUAUUCCGUCUUUUUCUCCCAAAUCCUCCCGGUCUCUCUCCUUCAAAUUUUUAAUCUUUAUCUACCUCUCUUCCAUGCUUUACAUCUAUUGCUUUUUUCCACAUCUUCCCCAUUGUCUGCCACACCAACCUUAAACCAAUCACAUCAAGACAAAGUCUUGUCUCCCAUCAUCUUCCUUUUCCUUUGUUUACAAUUUCUUCUUCCUAUGCUUGCCAACUCUCUCUUUCUUAUUGUCCAGACACUGCGUCAUGUUCAUCUUGCUUUUACUAUGUUAUUUUUAGUCUCUCUUUUCCUUCCCUCUGCAUUUGCUUUUGCUUUAUUCAAGUCUCUUCCCAUGUGAUUGCUGCCUUUUUUCUUUUCUUUUUCUUUUGUUAAACAAACCCAAAACUCUCUUUCUCAGUUUCUCUAUUCUCCCAAUUCUCUAUUCUCCUCCUCUCGGCAUGAGGCAACCAUCUUCUUCUCCAACAUUACUCUGCAGCCAUUCCGAUCUUCCUUCUUUUCACACUUCUUCCCUUUUCCUUUGUUACAUUUUCUUUCAACCAACUUGCUAUAACAAGCUGUCUCCCUUUCCUUUCUUGCACUUCAAUCCGAGCUCCAUCCCGUCGUCCGCAGAUUUGAGGGGCCCUUUGGGUUCGUGCGUCUGCGGUACAGUGAAUUUACUCUUCUCUCAAAAUUCAACCUGUUGCACACUACUUCUUCAAUCUCUCUCAUCUUUGGAGUGUGUCACCUCUUCUGCUGCUUCUUCUCUGUUUUCUCUCCAAUCUAGCCAUUGUUGCCGAUAUCUUUACCGAAGUACUUCUCAAGCAUUGCUUUGCAAAUCUUAGUUCCAAGUUCCAAGCUGCUUGCUCCUCAUCACCGCAUCAGCUUGCGGGGGGAUAAUAAGAGUAACUCUCCACCAUCAGACAAAACAUGCAAAAGACAUUUAGGAGCUCAAGACCACAAUUUGUAUUUGGCAUAUCAAUGUUGUCUGCCACGCUUGUCCACGCUUGUUUAGCACAUCUCUAUGCUUUGUAGUCUAUAUAUUUGUUAUCCUUUGUAAUCAAUCAAUAAAUUCAAGCAAGUUCAUUUUUCUUCACUAUCAAGUAUAAGAAUCAAAACAACUGCAAGAAAGAGUCACAGGAUGCUCCGCUCAUCAACUUUCCAGGCAAAAAGCUUCUCGGAAGUGUUUCUUAUUGUUAUGUAAUUUUUUUCUGUGCAAUAUGGUCCUUCAGUUACAUCUUUGGUGUUUACUAAUUGAACAUGUGUUUUCUCAGGAGAUAACUCUAUUACCUCUGAACUGCUAAACAUCAAACCCAAAACAGAGAUAAAUCUGCCAAUUCGCGCAGUUUUAGAUGCUACUUGGUGUGGAAGCCUUGAGAUCCUUGAUAAGGAUUCAGGUUGUCAAUUUUAUGAUGGAUUUGUGGCUCAUCUUCCUGGAAAAGUUUGUCGUAAAGCUCUAGAGCAUACACAACUGAUGCCUAAUGUGCUGCCUUGUACUAUGCUCUCUUGUUGCAAUGUAUGGGAAGAAAUAUUUCAGAACGAAAUCCCCACCAUUGAGGAUAUUGCAGUAUUCUUUUUCCCUGGCAAUUUUGAGAGGUCCAAAGAGCAGUACUUUAGCCUUGUACAAGUUAUGGAGACACAAGAUCUGAUACUGAGGAGUCUUAUAAAGGGCGUCAAUCUAUUGAUUUUAUCUUCUAAGAGGCUGCAUCUGGAAUUCCGUAACGUAUUGUGUGAAAUAUUAUAAAGCUCAAGGGUUAAGUCUCAUACAAAUAAAAGGAAGUAAGAAAGAAGCUAAAACAUUGCUGUUUUCCUUAAAGACUAAAGAACAUUAACCUCACCAUGAAACAUUACUCAUAUUCUCUUUAAUAUUGGCUUGGAUAUGAGGGAAUGAACAAAAGAGGAGCCAGAUUAUAAUAUGGCAUGAAAUUGAUAUGUCUCAUUGUUGAUUUAGGAUUGAAAAUGAAAUCUUUCCUGUGGGGAAUAUAUUGCCCUCUCCAGCUUACCAAUGACUCCCAAGCACACUCAAUGAAGGCUAAUUGCCUCUCCCUGAUGCAGGGGAUGCUGCUCUACCACAACAUGAGUUGAGAAAUUCAUUGACAUCUCAAAGUUCAAUGUACUCCUGCUAUGAUGUUCUGUGAAGAAUUAGAUAGAGAUGUAUCGAUCUGCUGGAAUUAGAAAGGCUAAGUAGUGAUGCAUUGUACUAAUAAAUAUGACUUGCGUAGUGCAGUACGUCGUUUUGAGAAGAUGGGGAGCUUGAUGAGAAAUGUACCAAGUUGGCUAUAUUUCUAGAACUGUUUCCUCUGUCUCCAUGGAUAUUUACGAUUUCACACAUAAAUGGCUGAAUCAAUAUGCACUGUUUCAUGGUUAUAUUCACCGGUUUGGUUCCUAAUA
Rosa chinensis is the source of this 2680-nucleotide long non-coding RNA. RefSeq lists it as uncharacterized. The transcript is spliced from 3 exons. Lineage: Eukaryota; Viridiplantae; Streptophyta; Magnoliopsida; Rosales; Rosaceae. The record is from RefSeq and is a predicted model, not a curated record.